Molecule: ribosomal RNA, 460 nt
Filed under: uncultured bacterium
Lineage: Bacteria
Description: partial 16S ribosomal RNA
Rfam family: Bacterial small subunit ribosomal RNA
Source: RNAcentral
CCUACGGGCGGCAGCAGUGAGGAAUAUUGGUCAAUGGCCGUGAGCCUGAACCAGCCAAGUCGCGUGAAGGAUGAAGGAUCUAUGGUUUGUAAACUUCUUUUAUAUGGGAAUAAAGGUAGGCACGUGUGGAUUUUUGUAUGUACCCUAUGAAUAAGCAUCGGCUAACUCCGUGCCAGCAGCCGCGGUAAUACGGAGGAUGCGAGCGUUAUCCGGAUUUAUUGGGUUUAAAGGGUGCGUAGGUGGUUUUUUAAGUCAGCGGUGAAAGUUUGUGGCUCAACCAUAAAAUUGCCGUUGAAACUGGCAGACUUGAGUAUAUUUGAGGUAGGCGGAAUGCGUGGUGUAGCGGUGAAAUGCAUAGAUAUCACGCAGAACUCCGAUUGCGAAGGCAGCUUACUAAACUAUAACUGACACUGAAGCACGAAAGCGUGGGGAUCAAACAGGAUUAGAUACCCUAGUAGUC